GACGAACGCUGGCGGCGUGCCUAAUACAUGCAAGUCGAACGAGAGCGACCGGUGCUUGCACUGGUCAAUCUAGUGGCGAACGGGUGAGUACCUCGUGGGUAACCUGCCUACCAGAGGGGGAUAACAUCCGGAAACGGAUGCUAAAACCGCCUAGGUCUUCGCGCUGAAUGGCUUCAAUAGGUAAAGAGGCGCUAGCUUCUGCUGAUGGAUGUCCCCGCGGUGCAGUAGCUAGUUGGUGAGGUAACGUCUCACCAAGGCCGUGAUGCAUAGCCGACCUGAGAGAGUGAUCGGCCACAUAGGGACGGAGACACGGCCCAAACACCUACGGGAGGCAGCAGUAGGGAAUCUACCGCAAUGGACGCAAGGCUGACGGAGCAACGCAGGGUGAGUGAAGAAGGUUUGCGGAACGUAAAGCACUGUGGUUAGAGAAGAACAAGUGCUAGAGUAACUGUAAGGGCCUUGACGGUAUCUAAGCAGAAGGCCACGGCUAACUAGGU
Molecule: ribosomal RNA, 497 nt
Filed under: uncultured bacterium
Lineage: Bacteria
Description: partial 16S ribosomal RNA
Rfam family: Bacterial small subunit ribosomal RNA
Source: RNAcentral